RNAcentral lists this long non-coding RNA (31416 nucleotides) under Vitis vinifera (wine grape). RNAcentral's name for it is "long non-coding RNA (VVIN_LNC000962)". Lineage: Eukaryota; Viridiplantae; Streptophyta; Magnoliopsida; Vitales; Vitaceae. The record is from RNAcentral.
CCCAAGAUCACUUCAAUGAUGAAGCAACCAUCCACUAGAAUCAUCUCCACAAAUUCUUUGCUGCUCAUGUUUAUGGGCUCCAUGUAACAGUCUCGGGCCGUUUUCUCCUCCCUGGAUAUAAUUUCAACACACUCCUCUAAGGUUUUGCGGGUUCUAUGAAGAAAAUUUUGGAGGUACCUCAGCUUAUGCUCUUCCAUGGCGAUCAAGUGCUCUUCGCCAUGAUGUAAGGGACCGAUGGAGACUACUCUAGGCGUGUAGGCUUCCAUAUUUACUUUCCGCAGUUUCUGUGGCACUCUAUAUAUACAGCAUGUAGCCGACAGGGGAGUCAACCUGUCCAACCUUCCUUGAAGAGAAGUAGCCACUUCUUUUGAUGACUUCUUCAACAUUUCAUCCGAAGCAUGGUCUUCUUUUCCAGCUUCUCCUAGUGGUUAAAUAAUUAACAAAGAUGAAGUAAUCAAUCAAUUCUUCCUUCAAAUCUUAUCACAUUUUUGGCUGUUUGGAAAAACCUAAAACUUAUUACUUACUCACUCAACUUAACUUUUAUUUUUUUACUUUUAAGUAUCCAAGUUGUUUAAUAAAGUUAUAUAAAUUUUAUUUUAAAUCAUUAAAUUGACACAUUUGCCUUUAUCAAUUUUAACUAAUCUUUAUGUUAUUGAUUUUAACUCAUGUUUAUUUUUAUUAAUUUUAAGUAAUAAAUUUAUUUAUAAAACAUCCAUAUUUAAAAUAUUAUAGUUACAUAAGAUAAUCAUAAAAUAUUUAUUAUAAAAAAUAAGUAAUAGAUGUGAAAUCAUAAAUCUAAAAUAUACUCUCACUAAUAUAAACAAAUAAGGUAAAAAUGAUUUGAGAUUAAAAAUAAAUAGGAGAAUUACCUUUUGGGGGUAGAUGGACCCCCAAAUUAACAAAAGAUCCAUAUAACUCUUCAAAUUGAGUUGAAGGACAUGAAAUAGUAACGGACAAAUAUACUCUUUAAGAAUACAUAUAAAAUAUUUUAUAAAAUUAGUUAAAUAAUUUUUUUUCAAUAAUUUUUUUAAAAUACUAAAUUAAAUAAAAGUAGUUUUCAAAAAUAUUAAAUUAAAUAAUUUUUUUUUCAAAAAUAUUAAAUUAAUUUUUUUUUCAAAAAUAUUAAAUUAAAUUAAAGUAUUUAAAAAAAAUAUUAAAUUAAAUAUUUUUUAAAUAUUAAAUUAAAUAAAUUUAUUUUAAAAAAAUAUUAAAUUAAAUAAAUUUAUUUUAAAAAAAUAUUAAAUUAAAUAAAUUUAUUUUAAAAAAAUAUUAAAUUAAAUAAAAGUAUUUAAAAAAAUAUUAAAUUACAUAAAAGUAUUUUUUUAAUAUUAAAUUAAAUAAAUUUAUUUUAAAAAAAUAUUAAAUUAAAUAAAAGUAUUUUAAAAAAUAUUAAAUUAAAUAAAAGUAUUUUAAAAAAUAUUAAAUUACAUAAAAGUAUUUUUUUAAUAUUAAAUAAAAUAAAUUUAUUUUAAAAAAAUAUUAAAUUAAAUAAAAGUAUUUAAAAAAAUAUUAAAUUACAUAAAAGUAUUUUUUAAAAAAUAAAAAAUAUUAAAUUAAAUGAAAGUAUUUUUCAAAAAUAUUAAUUUUUUUUUCUCAAAAUCAACAAAGGACAUUUUUGGAAAUACUGAAGGAUGACAUCCUUCAACUCAAUUUCCAUACUUUCAUUGGGUCUUGAGCUCAAUUUGAAGAGUUACAUGAACCUUUUAUUAAUUUGGGGACACAUCUACCCCCAAAACAUAAUUCUCCCAAAAUAAAUUAACUAUUAUUUUUAACUCAAAUAACUUUAUGUAUGACUCAUAAUAGCUUAUUAAAUCAUUAAAAUUGAUAUAUAUAUAUAUAUAUAUAUAUAUAUAUAUAUUGGAAAAGUGAGAUUUGAUUCACUAAUAUGAAAAUAUAUGGUAAAAAAAACCCCAAAUAUUUUAAAUUAGACUUAUCAUCAUCUAUUUAAAAAUAAUUUGAAAUACAUGCAUUUUUUAAUGAGUCAUCCAGUUAUUUCAAAAAAUGUUAUUUUACUUGUCAUAUCAUUUAAAUCAAUUGACAACUAAACUUAUUUGUAUAAAUGCUUCUCUUCUUUUUAGAUAUUUUAUUAUUUUAUUAUUUGAGAUUUUUUUCUCUAGAAACAAACACCUCGUGAGAUUCUUAUUUUAAUUUUCUAAAAGUUUAGGAAAUAUUAUGUAAAAAAAUCCUAUUUAAAUAGGAUUAAUUUUUUUAUUUCCUAAAAUUUUAAGAGGGAAUAUUGUCAAACAAAUUCUAUUUAAUUAUAAUCAUCAAUUCAAAAAGUAAUAAGGUUGUUUAUUAAAUAAUAAAUAAUAAAUAAUAAAUUUAGUGAUAUAUAAUUAUGAUUAAUUAAUUUAAUAUAAAAUUUUAUUUAUUUAUUUAUUAAUAUACUAUAUAUCAAAGUACAACCAUAUUGUAAAACAUUUUAUAUCUAAAACGCUCUUACAACAAAUUUUAUUCGUUAUUAUAUUAAACAAUUAUUAAUAUUACAUAAUAAAUAUAAAUUUAUUAUUAGUUUAUUUAUUAUCAAGAAUAUGAAUUUAUUUUUAACUUAUUAACACUAUAAUAAACUCUCUUUUUUUCUUUUUCUUUUUUUCAAAUUCUUACUUUAUAAUGUUUUUAGAGAAAAAAAUCCCAAAUAAUAAAGUAAUAAAAUAAUAAUAAUAAUAAUAAUAAUAAUAAAAAUAAAAUAUCUAAAAAGAAAGAAAAUAUAUACAUGGAAAAGUCUAGUUGUCAAUUGAUUUAGAUGACAUGACAAAUAAAGGAAUAUUUUUGGGAAUAAUUGAAUGACUCAUAAAGUGUAUGUAUUUUAAAUUAUUUUUAAAUAGAUAAAGAUAAUACUAAUUUAAAACAUUUGAGGUUUUUUUCUAUAUAUUUCAUAUUAGUAAAUCAAAUUUCACUUUUCCAUAUAUAUAUAUAUAUAUAUAUAUAUAUAUAUAUAUAUAUAUAUAUAUAUAUAAUCAAAUUUAGGGUUUUUAUAGGAUGCAUAAAACUACAUUAUCUUUAAUAAGUUAAUUUAUUUAUAAAAUUGCACAAUAAAAUAAAAUAAAAUAAAAUUUUCACUUCAUGAGUGAAUUAGAAAUUGAUAUAUAGAUUGCAAGUCUGUCUAAUUAACUUAUCUGUUACUUUUUUUUCUCCUCACAUAUUUGUUAGAAUGCAACAAUAUUGUUUUCAAACCCAAAAAUAAACCACCUAAAUGAUGACACUUGAAUGCUACAAAAGUCUUAACCUACCCUCAUUAGAUACCAACUGAUUUUCACAUGUUGGAGGUGCAACAAUGUUCAUUACAAUGAUGCAAGGUAUCCAUGAGUUCCUUUAAAUGACAAACAAAUUGAAUACAGGCAAGCUCACCAGAAGCGCUACCCUGCAAUGAAAUGGUUGUUGCUUCUCUCUGAAUCUUUGCUGCCGAUUCCAUGGCCGCUUGUGAUAUUAUAACACAGCGUAGUGGAAAGAGUGUAUCUUAAAACCUUUGUUUCUUUGUUUCUUCAUCACUAGCUUUUGCAACGAAGGGUAUUCAGCACCUGCAGUCAGAUUUUGGAUUCAAAUGGUCAUUACUCUCAAUCAAUAAAGAUACUGGAAAGCUUCCUUUUUCUUGGGAAGUAUACUCUGCCUUUUGUUUCUUCUUUCACUCUUACCACAUCCACUCAAUGAGGAUAUGGAGGAUAAUAUCUGUGUGUGGGUGCACAUGGAAACAAAAUUUUCCACAGAAAUAUCAGUGGUCAACGCUUGCAUUGACCGAGGCAAAGCUCAGUGUUGCCCAAGUCAAAGCUCAAAAAUGAGCAUCCAGGGCAAAUUUGCCCCUUGUUAAUAACCUUGCACUAUAUAUACAUAUAUUAAAAAUUUUCAUAUACACAAAAUAUUAAAACAAUACUUUAAACAAUAAAUUAAUUAUAAUUAUUUUAUAAUUAAAUAAAAAAAAUUCAUUUAAUUAAGUAACAAAAAGUUUUUAAUAUCAUUAAUAUAUUAAUUAAAAAUUAAAAAAAUUAUACAUUUAUCAUUAUUUGUUUUAUAUCAUUUAAUACAAUUAAAUUAAAUAUAUCAUAAUUUUAAUAUUAAAUAUAUUCUAAAAUUAAACAUAUUAUAAUCAAAUAUCACAAUAUUAUUAUCGAAUAAUAUUUGAUGUAAUUUAACAAUCAAUGUACACUUAUAUAUAUUAAUUUAUUCAACAAAACAACUUUAAAAUAUCUAUUAUACUUCUAAUUUCAUUUUUAAGAGCUUUAUUUAUAUUUUCAAAAGUUUUGAUCAAUUUUAAAUCAAUCAAUAUUUUGCAUUAAAAUAUCUGUCGAUAUAUCUUCAAUAUAUCGUAAAAUCGAACUAUCGAUAUAUCCGUGAUUAUCGAUAUUUUUAUUCUUGAUGAGGAUAAGGUUAAGGGUGGGGCUCAGAGGACGCACGUCCUCAAAAAUAAGAAAAAGAGAGAAAACAAGAAUUUGGGGAAUUUUCUGAAUAUAUAUUAUAUAUCUUAAGUCUUUCCGAUCAAGUUCAAGUUGUUUGUUUUAAAUCAAAUAAAAUAUUAUCCCGUUUGCAUGUCAAUCAAGGAUGAAAAUAUCAGUAAUUACGGAUAUAUCGAUAUUUUGAUUUUAUAGAUAUACAAAAAAAUAUUGGUAGGUAUUUUGAUAAAAAAAAUUAAUAAAAUAAAAAUAAAGAAAAUGAUAUAAGAAGUAAUAAUAAACAUUUAAAGUUAUUUUUUUGAAAAAAUUAAUAAAUUACCAUAAGAGAAACGAUGAUAUUUAAUUAAAUAUUUUUUAAUUUAAAAAUGUUGAAAUUUUAUUUUUGAAUUUAUAUUUGUUUUGUAUUUAAUUAGUAUACAAAAUAUAUAACAAGAUAAUUAAAAUUAAAUUAUUUAUAAUAAUUUUAUUUUAUUUAAUUAUCAUGUGAGAAAAGAUGAUAUUUAAAUAAAUAUUUUAUAUUUAAAAAUAUUGAUAAUUUUAUUUAUGAAUUUACAAUUGUUUUGCAUUUAAUUAGUAUAUAAAAUAGAUAUGAUGGUUAACAAGUGUGGGCUUGGGCUUAAUCUAACUCUUGGCCCAUUGGAUAGAACUAAAAAAUUUAAUAUGUAUGGGUUGAUUGGACUAGUUUUGACCCAGCCCAUUGCACAAAUUUUAAAAAUUUUCAAUUUUACAAGUUAAAAAAAAAAAAAUAAUUUUCUUUGAAAGAUUACUGAUUUUCCUCAAAAAAUUGCCAUUGGACGAUAUUUUGCCAAUUUUCCACAAUGGCACGUGUGGCAAGAGAAACAUUGUUGAUUAAAUCGACAAUCACAAUAUUAGUGAUUUUUCUCUAUUUUUUCUUAUUUCCCACCCGUUCGAGCUUUUAGUGUGGAAUUUCGUGUUGACUUCGCCUAAUAUUCGAAAUAUCGUCGAUAUAUCUCAAAAUUUUAAAUCUUAAUAUCAACUAUUUUUUUCAUGGUAUUUCUUAAACCCAUAUGGUUAUCUCAUGUAAAUAUUUUAAGUAAAAUGCUAUAAUUAAGAAACGCAUUAUUUAUUUCUAGUAGUCAUCUUAUGCCACAAUUCCAAGAUAAUGCAAUUGUUAAAACCACUCUAAUGCUCACAAUUUGAAUAUUGGAUUAAAGAUCUCAAAAAAAAAAACUCAAAACCAAAUAUCUAACAAUAGUCUUUUACUACUAAUUUGACUUCUAUCUAAAUACGGUACCAUUGUAAUUCCGUUUAAUCAUGUACACCCAUUUACAUCCUACAAAUUUUUUGUUAGAUGGUAACAAUACUUUCACGAUUUAAUCUUUAGGAAAGCAUCAAAUUCUUGGUUAAUAACACCUUUCUACUUUGAAUCAUGAAUUGCUUCACUGUGUAGUUGGUUUUGUAUGACAUUAGUUGCAAUAAAGAUUUGGGGUUUAAAGAUUUCAUUCUUGGAUCUCGGUAGUUUAAUAAACUGUCUCUAGAAAUGGUUGUUUGGGGUAAAGAGUUGAAUGAUUUUGGGAAUUAGAUUGCUUGUAACUGAAAGUAGAAGAUUCUAGAUCUAUUCAGUGUUUGAAUUAACUACAUGUGGUGAAGGGAUUGAGUUCAUGGAAACUUAGGCAUGCAUAAGAGAUGAUUUUUUUAGUAAGUGUGAUUAUGCUUAAAGUGAAUUUGAAGGUUUAUUGGAUUAAUAUGGAAAAGUGUUUGUAUUUUUAUCAAAAGUAACAUACCUAAGAAUAUCAUAGUCUUUUGUAAGAUCUAAGCACUUAAAGCCCGUUUUAUAGUGAUUUUAAGAAGUGUUUUUAUCAUUUUUAAUACUUAAAAUUUUGUAUCAUUCAAGUGUUAGAAAGAUUAAAAACUUUUUUAGAAUCAUUACCAAACACACUCUUAGAGUCUAUCUAACAAUGAUUUUAGGAAGCACUUCUAAUAUUUUUAAUAUUUAAAAUUUUUAUUAUUUACGUGUUAAAAAUACUAAAAACGUUUUUCAGAAUCACUGUCAAACAUACUCUUAUAUCCCUUAUUUGUACUUUUAUAUCUAAGGAUCGUAUAUAGAAGAGACAUAGACAAUUUCUCCAAACAAUCCCAUGAUGUUUUGAUUUGAUUUUCUCAUGAUGUUUUGGUUUAAAAUGGGUGAGAAAAAUGGGGUGGGAUGGAAUCAAAUGAUUCAAACCUAGGCCUAUUGUUUGAGAAUAAGGGAUAUUAAUGCUUUUUCUAUGUAAUUGAAACUUCCCUGAUAUUAUGUCCCUUAAAAAAAUAAAAAUACUACUUUUAUUCCCAUAACUAAUUUUCAAAACCAAACAAUAAUUUAACAUUAUGAAUAAAUAAAUUGUAAUUAUCUUUACUCAUGUUCAAAUUUUAUUAAAUUACAUAUUGCAAAUAAAAAUAUCAGCACGAUAAUUUUCUCAAAAUUGUUAUCAUUAAUGUUUUAAAUUCAAGCAUACAUCAUAAACAUAAUUACAAUUAUUUUUUAAAAUAUUUUAUUCAUCCUCCUUAAAAUUCUAGUUAAAUAUUAAUUUAAAAUUUCAUCAUAUAUCUCCCUAAUUUUUCUAUUUAUUAUUUUCAUUCAUCUUAUUUAAUUCAAAUUAAUGAAGGUAUUUAAUGAAAUUUCAAAGUGUAUUUAACCCAAAUAAGAUGAAUGAAAUUUAUUCUUUUUGUUAAAAACUACUACAUAAAAUAUUCAAUGAAAUCAAAUUAUUGCCAUCCUAUUAAAUAUAUAUGUUUUCAAAACUCAUAUUUCUUUAAAAAAAAAAAAAAAGAAGUGUAUUAUUAUAAAAUAUCACAAAUUUUAUUAUACAUAUGUUCUUUAAAAAAAAUCAAUACAUAUAUUAUUCUUUAUUUUUGAAAUUUUUGAAAAAUUUUCAAAUAUUUCCAUCAACUUAUUUUAAACAAGGUUUGACAAUUCUGUUCUAAAUCUACACAACCUGCAACCAAUUAAAUAUUCAACUAUGGUUUUACUGUUUGACCUUAUCUAUGAAGUUUUUUGGAGAUUCGGUAAGUAGCAUUUCAUGUGUAUUUAAUGUUCAUUAUAUGGAUUGGCCAAUCAAUAUUUUGGAUCUGAGUUAAUUGUUAACCAAUAAUAUCUAGAUAUAAUUUAAAAAUUAGGAUAUAACAAACCUCUUAGUCUAUUUUUUUAGUGAAUCAAAAGCAAACUUAUAUUUUCUACAUUUUGUAUCUACACAACUUUUAUUAGUGAAUUAAAAGCAAAUAACAUCCACGUGCAUUUUUUUAAUGAUAACAAAUAUUGGUCCAUUUUUCGGUUGAGAUGUUAUUCUAUCCAGUUAAUUUACCUUUUAAUUCAUACGUUGAAUACUAAAACACAUGAUUCACCCUUAUAAAAAAAAUAUUAAAUUUUGCACAUUAUUGUUUAUUUAACUUAUUUAUAUUUUUUUGCCUUACUACCAUCAUGGGCAUGGCAUAAAUAUUAUAUAUAAAACAUGAUAACAUUCAUCUGUGUAACAACAUUUCAUAUUUGUAUGUAUACAUGGAUAAUUCAACAGCAAAAGUAAUUACUUAAGAGACAUGGCCGAAAAUAUUGUUUGUAAGAGAGUAAGUAGGAGUAUAACUGCAGCAAUUGUAGAAGGCCCUCUCCAUAGCGAACAGAAAUAGUCAUGUCUCAAUGUUGCCCUCCAACUGUUCCAUGGACUAGUCAAGUAUUCACUUAGCUCGACAUAUAUACCUGAAAAAUGGAAGGUAUCCCUCCAUAAUUCAACAUCAAUUGGUAGUCUGUUAAAUAGGUUCUAAACCGCAAUGUUGUCGCCCAGAUGACUACUAAUAAUUCUCUUCCUAACAAGUAGGUUGACGUCAUUAAUAGUGUUAAUAAGGUGAUCCAUGAGGUAAAUGUAGUCGGUUAUGUAAGUGUGUGCAUGGGAGUGGCAUUGCUCAAAGGCAAUGAGGUUUAAGGAUUCACACUUUUCUUGCAGUAUUAGACUUGGAAUUCUCAGAACUGUUAGAAUAAAUGUGGACCCACAUCAUAUUAACCAUUAUUCAGGAUUUAGUUAUCCAUAUAUAUAUAUAUAUAUAUGAUUGCUGAUUGAUCCAGAGUAUGGACCAUCUUAUGUGUAGAGCCCAAUGCCAUAACGGGCCUUAAAUGAUGGGCUUAAGACUCAUGAGGCCCAAUAACCCAAAGGGUAUGGUCCCUAAGACAGGAGGGUAUAAUAGAGGUUAAGUGUCUGUUCUUCAGAUGAUCACAUCUUUUGAAUAAAGAACAAAACAUGUUCUCUCCCACUCCCAUCACCAAAGAGAAUACUGAGAAAGGUGGUGCCCUCCACAGCCUUAGAAGAUCCAUACAUCUUCAUCAAACACAUAAAUGGAUUCAGGUUAGUUCCCUUUCUAUAGAAAUUUAUGGCAUAGUUUCUUCACAUGAUUAAACAUAUUAUUCAUGUAUGAUAUUAUGGGAUUUGCAAUGGAAUUACUUUCAAUUGGUAUCAGAGCCUCAUGUUUAAUCAUUAAGAAAUUGCCAACAUGAAUUCUAUACAGCAAAAGCCUAGAAACCAUUCUGAUAUCCCAAAUUGGAAUUGCUUUGUCCUGCAACUGGAAAUUUCUGAAAGCCCCGCCACCUUUGGAUCAAAAUUCUUUAAUGGUGGGGGUGGCUUGUGCUGUCUGUCGGCCAUGGGUGCGACUGGGUGAAGAUAAGUAGUGGCCGGCCACGAUGGCGCCGUUGUAGCGCCGUUUCGGUGCAUGUCAGGCGGUCGAAGCAGCGUUGGGCGUUGCGACGCGUCUUAUGGCAGUCGGAAAAGGCGUUAAAAAGAUGUCGUUUAAGGCGCUUUUGCAAGCCUCCUUAUAGGCAUUCAGACGUCAUUCAAGGGCCAUCCGACGCCGGUGAGGGGCGUGGUUUCAAGCGCCAUACCAGGCGCCAUUCAAGGUGUGCCUCAGUCACCAUUCCGACGCUGUUCAGGCGCACUUUGGAGGCAUUGCAGCGACGUCUUUCAAGCGGCAUUUUCAUUUCGAUCUAUGACGCCGUUCUCGGCGUCGUGUCGGGGAUCGGAAGGCGCCGUUUUGGUGCCGUUGAGGUACCAUUUCAGGUGCCGUUUGCAGCGCUGUUCUAAGUGUGCUUCAGGCGCUGUUCAAGUGCCCUUUUUGGGGCUGCAAGUCACAGUGGUUGGUGCCAUUUCAGGCGAACGAGACGCCAUCAUGGCGUCGUUUCCAGACAGCGGUGCAGUGGCAGAUGCCGUUAGGCGUCAUGUCGACGUCGUUUCAGGCGUUCAAAAGGGCGCCAUUUUUAAGCGCUGCAGGCACUAUUUCCAAACACCAUUCAAGCGUCAUUCGCUAGUGAGAAGCGCUAAUUUAAGUGUUAUUGCAAGCGUUCCAGACGCCAUCCAGGCAUCGUUUUGGCAUCGUGGGUGGGGCUGCUUUCCAGUGACGCAGUUACAGCGUUAUUCCGGUGUAGCGUCGUCCUUUGGAAAUGGGAAAUCAUCGUUCUGGUGAUCGCUGAUGAUGCCACUAUGGGGGAUGGUCGCUUUGGGUUGCAGUGAACAAAAAUAAAUAAAUAAACAUAUAUAUAUAUAUAUAUAUAUAUAUAUAUAUAUAUAUAUGGAAGGGGCUUGGCUUGUAAGUGACCACAAGUGGUUGUUGGCCCAUGAGAGAAUGCAUGGUCAGUAGCCCCAAAGAAGGCAUUUUGACUAUUUGAUAAUCUAUUAAAAGAAGGCAUGUUGCUACCAAGUUGGUGUUGCAUGCACAAGAAUUUUAGGGAGAUGGUGGACCACCUUUUUUUGUAGUCCAACUGGAUUGGAAAAUUUUCCCAUCCUAUUAUGCUAUAUUUGUGUUUAAUAUUUUUUUUAAAUAAAUGAAUUAUAUAUAUUAGUUGUCAAAGUAACUUAUAUUACAUAAUUUAUUUAUUUUAUAAUAUCUAAACAUGUUAUUAUUAUUAUUAUGUAAAAUAAUCGACCUAAAGGAAUAUUAUUUUAAUAUAAUAAUAAAUAAAGUAGUCAUAAAUACGUGACAUAUAAAGUUUAUCUUACUUGCUAUAUGUCAGUCCAAAGACAUGCAUAUUGCUUCUGUUUUAUUGUUAAUAUUUGUGAACUAAUUUUGUAAAAGGAUACCAAUUACAAAUUGAUAUUUUUGUCCAAAGACUGAAUAUUAAUGUUUGUGUUAGGUAUCUUGUAAUAGACCUUCAUUGAUUAUAAGUAGACUUUUUCAUCAGUUUCGUCAAAGGACUCCUUUAGAAUCAUCAUGGCACUUGUGGCUCAGUAUGAUUUAGAGCUGCAUCAAAUGGAUGUUAAAACUGUGUUUCUUAAUGGUAACAUUGAUGAGAUAAUAUACAUGGUGCAACCGGAGAACUUUGAGUCUAAUGAUUCAAAGCAACUUGUAUGCAAAUUAAAAAGGUCCAUAUGUGGUUUAAAGCAGACAUCACGACAAUGGUACCGAAAGUUUGAUUAGGUGAUUACUUCAUUUGGUUUUAAGGAGAACACCGUUGAUCAAUGCGUAUAUCUCAAGUUCAGUGGAAGCAAAUUCAUUAUCUUGGGGCUAUAUGUAGAUGAUAUUCUACUUUCUAGUAGUGAUGUAGAACUCUUGCAUAAAACCAAGUGGUUUCUAUUCAGUAAAUUUGACAUAAAGGAUCUUGGUAAUGCAUCUUUUGUGCUGGGUAUACAGAUCUAUAAAGAUCAUUCAAGAGGUAUACUUGGGCAAUCAUAAAAGUCAUACAUUGAUAAGGAGUUAAGUAGGUUUGGCAUGAGCAAUUAUGCACCAGGAGACACGCCUGUGGCAAAAGGCGAUACAUUUAGUUUACACCAAUGUCUGAAAAAUGAACUUGAGAGGAAUGAUAUGGUUGUGGAAUUUUAUCACUCAAUUGCGAAUUGUUGAUGGGAUUAAGAAACCAUUAAGAAUCAAUUGUGAUAAUAAGGUCGCAUAAUUGUAUUCUAAGAACAACCGAAGUUCGUCAAAGUCCAAAUACAUUGACAUCAAGUUCUUGGUUGUGAAAGAAAGAGUUCAGAGUCUUCAAGUAUCAAUUGAACAUAUAAGUACAAACUCCAUGAUUGUGGAUCUGCUCACUAAGGGUUUGCCACCCAAAGUAUAUCAUGAGCAUGUCACACAUAUGGGUGUUGUACACAUUGAUGAUGUGCUAGUAUAGUGGGAGUUUGUAUUUAGAUUUUGUGUUUGUUUUCUUGAUGUGAUAUUAUGUUUGUGUUAUCUGUACAAACCUUGUUUUUAAAGACUAUUGUAUUUUAAUACUUUGAAUUGAAAUGAUAACUUUCAGAAGCAGUUUAGCAUUAAGUGUUGAAAGUGAAAUUUGACUAUUUUUAGUCAUAAAGCAGGACCAAUUGGAAAUAGACAUAUUAAAGAUCGCAUUCUAUGUAAUUUCCAUGCUACACAUCCAUACUUGACCCAUGUUGCUAAUUUUGUUAAUGUUGUGAUCAUUGAUGGGUCUAAUUAUAAUUAUGAUUAACGAAAGCCGCUUUGAUCCUGUGUUAGCAUAAUUAGUAGACCGGAUUGUUUAAGGAUAUUUGAAUAGGAUAGCAAAGAUGAGCUUAAUGAAGUAUUAUCAUGAACAUUGUUGGCUAAUAUAUGUGGUCCAAAUGGGAGAUUGUUAGAAUAAAUAUGGACCCACAUUAUAUUAACCAUUGUUUAGGAUUUAGCUAUCCAUAUAUACAUAUGAUUGCUGAUUGAUCUAGAGUAUGGACCACCUUAUGUGUAGAGCCCAAUGUCAUCACGGGCCUUAGAUGAUGGGCCUAAGACUCGUGAGGCCCAAUAACCCAAAGGGUAUGGUCCCUAAGGCAGGAGGGUAUAUAAAGGUUAAGUGUUUAUUCUUCAGAUGAUCACAUCUUUUGAAUAAAGAACAGAACGCGUUCUCUCCCAUUCCCAUCACCAGAGAGAAUACUGAGAAAGGUGGUGUCCUCCAUAGCCUUAGAAGAUCCAUACAUCUUCAUCAAACGCAUAAAUGGAUUCAGGUUAGUUCCCUUUCUAUAGAAAUUUAUGGCAUAGUUUCUUCACAUGAUUAAACAUAUGAUUCCUGUAUGAUGUUAUGGGAUUUGCAAUGGAAUUACUUUCAAGAACAUCAUCGCUAUACUCUAUAUCAAGUAAGGGUUUAUCCUCUGCGUGCAACUAGAACCUUACUCCUCCCUCACGGAGCUGUGUUGCAGUAGGUAUCACGAGUUUGAAGUCAAAUGGUUUUACUGGACUAGGGGAUGAAGGCUGCAGACAAACUAUUAGCAAAUCAACAAAGUGCUUUACUUCCCCAUCAGUACUAGGGGUCUUCUUCGCAAUUUCAAUCAUUAUUUCUCCAGAACUUUUGGCUUCUGGCAUUUCCAAUAGUCUUUGAAGAAUUCGACAGAAAAGAGAAGGAAUGAGUAGUAGUCAUUUUGGUGUCCUGGUGGAGGGGGCAGGAGGCUGUAGAGAGUAACAAGACGAAAGAAUGGAAGCUGGUUUUCUAGUAAGGUCAUGUCACGGCACACAUCAAAGAACAACCAUGGCUUGUUGUAUAUCCGAUCAUCUGGUUUGAUAGUAUGACGGUUGGAAAAGUCCAAGAUCGCUUCAACGAUGAAGCAACCAUCCAAUAGAAUCAUCUUCAAAAAUUCUUUGCUGCUCAUGUUUAUGCUCUCCAUGUAACAGUCUCGGGCCCUUUUCUCCUCCCUGGAUAUAAUUUCAACACAGUCCGCUAAGGUUUUGCCGGAUUUAGAAAGAAAAUUUUGGAGGUACCUCAGCUUAUGCUCUUCCAUGGCUACCAAGUGCCCUUCGCCAUGAUGUAAGGAACCGAUGGAGACUACUCUUGGCAUGUAGGCUUCCCUAUUUUCUUUCUGCAGUUUCUGUGGCACUCUAUAUAUACAGCAUGUAGUCGACAGGGGAGUCAAGUUCUUUAACAUUCCUUCAAGAGAAGUAACCACUUCGUUUGAUGACUUCGUCAACAUUUCAUGUGAAGCAAUGUCUUCUUUUACAGCUGCUCCUAGUGGUUAAAUAAUUAACAAAGAUGAAGUAAUCAAUUAAUUCUUCAAAUCUUAUCAUACUUUGUUUGGAAAAACCUGAUGACUUAACCGAGUAAAGUUAACUUUAACUUAAAUUAUUCUUAAAUUACAGACUUAAAAUUAUUUAUUACUUAUUUUUUACUUUUAAAUAUUGAGGUUGUUUAAUCAAAUUAAUAUAAAAUUUAUUUUAAAUCAUCAAAUCGACGUAUUUACUUUUAUCAAUUUUAACUAAUAUUUAUCUUAUUGAUUUUAACUCCUAUUUAUUUUUAUUAGUUUUAAAUAAUAAAUUUAUUUAUAAAUCAUCCAUAUUUUAAAUAUUGUAGUUAUAUAAGAUAACCAUAAAACAUUUAUUAUAAAAAAAAUGAGUAUAAAUAUGAAAUCAUAAAUCUAAAAUAUACUUUCAUUGUGGACAAAUGAGUAAAAAUCAUUUGAAUAUAUAUAUUAUUACACUGCCUUAGUAAGUUAAUUUACUCAUAAAAUUGCACUACAAAAUAAAAUAUAAAAAUUUAGCUUCAUUGAAUUAGAAAUUAAUAUCAAAUACAAUGCAUGCAUGUUUAAUUAACUCAUGAGUGGAGUACUUUUUUUCUCCUAACAUAUUUGUUUAUUGGUUGUAACAAUAUCACUUUUAGACAUGAGGAUAGGUCACCCAAAUAAUGAUAAUCAAAUAUUUUAAAAGACUUAGUCUACUAUUACUAGAUACUGAUUGGAUUUCAUAUAUUGGGGAUAAUAUUGUUGGGGCGCAAUAAUGCCGCUCUUAAACUCGUGAAUGGGUUACCCAAAUGAUAUGGAUACCAAUUAAUUUUCAAACGAUAAUAAUAAUUGAAUAUUAUAAAAGGCUUAAUCUACUUAUACUAGAUACCAAUUGGUUUUCAUAUAUUGGGGAUGGCAUUGUUGGGGUGCAACAAUACCACUCUUAAGCCGAUGAAUGGAUCACCCAAAUCAUAUGGAUACCAAUUAAUUUUUAAAUGAUAAUGAUAAUAAAUAUUAUAAAAUACUUAGUUUAUCUUCACUAGAUACCAAUUGGUUUUCACAUAUUGGAAAGACAUUGUUAGGUUGCAACAAUGUCACUCUUACAUCUGUGAAUGGGUCACUCAAAUGAUAUGAACACUAAUUAAUUUUUAUGAGAUGAUCAAAUUUGUUUGAUAACUAUUUCAAAAACAGUUUUCAAUUCUCUAAAAAAAAAAAGAGUUUUCAAUUCUCUAAAAAAAAAAGGAUUUUUAGAUAUCAUGUUUUAAUUGUUUUGAAAAAAAAUAAUUAUACAAUAUAGAGAAUAAUUAAGAAAAUAAAGGACUGCAUUAUUUUUAAAAUAUAUUUAAAAACACAAAAAAUUAAAUAAAUUUCUAGCUUUAAUUUCAAAAAAACUUUUGUUUUAUAAAAUAUUAUAUAACACUUUUAAAAAAAAGUCUUUCAUAAGUAUUUUCGAAAACACUCCCCAACCAAAACCUUAAAUUCAUCAAGAUGAUGGAGUUUCUUUAAAUGACAAACAAACUAUAUACAGGCAAGCUUACCGGAAUUGUUAUCCUGAAAUGACAUAGUUGAUGCUUUUCUCUGAAUCUUUGCUGCUACUCCGUGGAUUAAUUUCAUGACCACAAUGUGAUAUUAUAUACCGCAGUGGAAAAUAUAGUUUUGAAACUUGGAACGAAAUACAAUUUUUGAAACUUGUAAGGACAAGAAUUAGGUUAUAUAGUCAAGUUUUUUUAAAAAGAAAAAAAAAAUUAUUUGUUGGAUUUAUUUUAAGAAAUUUUAUUUGUUGGACUUUCUUGGUCUAUGUUUAUUGCUUCAUUUAGAUAAUUAUAGUGUUAAUUUUUCAUGAUAUUUGUUAGAAUUUCUCUUCUUAUAUUUGUUGUUGCAUUCUUAUUAUUAUAAUAGUUAAUUUAGUAUUAGCAAAUAAUUUAAUUAUUGUUACAACAUCAGCAGCUGACAAAUAUUUCACUGGAAGAUAUUUUACUAUUAAAAUUAUUUGAGUAAGUUGCUAAAAUUACCUUAUUCAAAUAUUAGUUGUUAGAUUAUUUGAUUAAUUCCUUUAUAUUUGGAAUCUAUUUUAUAAAGUUAACGGAAUUUCUAUUUCUUUCGAAACUGUGAUAGUAACUUUAAACUUUGAAUUAGUUGAUUUAUUAUUGAAAUAAAUUUCUAUAUACUAGCAGAGUAAUGUUUACCCUCAUUAAAACCCGAAAAAUUUAGUGGGUCUCACUUUUGAAGAUGACAAAUAUAAUUAUCUUAGGAUUUUGGGUUUACAUGAAAGUUUGGCCCAAGAUCCUUGUUCAAGACAUAGUUUACAAUGGAUUCUCAAAUGGAAAUUGUCAACACUAAGGCUCUGUUUGGUUCCCGGAAAAUGUGAGAGAAAGAAAAUUGGGAGGAAAAAUGGAAGGAAAUAAAAAGGUAAGGAAAGAAAUAUAAUUUUUUUCACUUGUUUGGUUAUCCAUGGAAAAUUCAAGGGAAAAAAAAAAAGAAUUCAUUUUCUUUUGUUUGGUUAACCACAAAAAAAAAAAGUAAGGAAAAAUGGAAUGAAAAUAAAAUCAAUAAUUUGUCUUAGAUGGUUAUCAAUUUGUUAAAUAAUAAAAUAAAUUAAUCCAAUAAAAAAAUAUUUGAAAAACGUGAAUUUUUCGACAUAAAACAUUGCUCAUAAAAAGUCUCUACUAUUUUUUUUUAUUAAUAAUUAUAAAAUUUAUGUAUAAAAUUUUCCUCAUGUAAUACAAAUAAAAUAUACGAGUAAUAACUAUUUUUUAUUUUCAAGGAAACAUUUAUAGCUAAUAAAAAGCUCUUAAAAAAUUCAAAAGGAUUUUUGGAAUCAAAAUUUAGAAAUAAAAUAUAUUCAUAUAAUGUAAAAAUAAAAAACUACUAUAUAAAAUAUAAAAUUCAAAAUUAAGAGUUGAGGCCCAUUUUACAUGUGCUUAAUCGUUUUCCCACUCCUAAAUCUAGCAACAAAUUAUUCCCACUCUUCUUACAAAUUAACAUGAUAUGAAGCUAUGUUAAAUAAUAAGGAAAGGACAAAGCAAUACAAAUAAAAUGAUUUUUUUCACGUUGGUUAAUCAUAAAAGAUAUGAAAGAAAAAGUAAAUAAAAAUAAUAUAUUAAUUUUAUUUUUUCUUUGCAAUUUUCGUGAAAAUUUUCAAAAACCAAUGAUAGGGUAAAUAAUCAAUAUCAGCACUCAGUGGAUGGUUGUGGUGUAUACCAAUUGUGUUUGAAGAAGAAAUACCUCAGAAAUGUUCUAAAAAGUAUCAUUUUCCAUUGUCUUUUAUUGAAUGGCCAGUCGAGGUAUAGAAAAUUGCAGUUAAACCAGUACUGAGUCAAACAGGAAUGUAGUUAAACCCGGUUCAAAGAUUCCAUGAUAUCUAGGUUAUAUAUAUAAAAUCUUUGCAAGAUUACCACAGUUUUGAAAAUUGUUUGACCAAUUCAGCCUUACCUCUACCUGAAACAGAAUUCCAUACAAAAAGACAUCACAAUUCUGAAUAAGCUUCAGGUUUCCUUCAAAUAUGAUCCAACAAACGAGGGAUUUCUCAAGGACAUCACGGCAACAACAACAACAACAAAAAAAGGAAAAAGAAAAAAACAAAAAGAAAAAAGAAAAAAAGAAAAUAUAGAGAAGGCCCUAAAAGAACAGGAACAGGUGAUAUGAAGCUUCCUACCCCAUGUCACUUUGACAUCUCAUUCCAUGAUGUAAAGGAGAAACUCAAAGGAGAACAAAAAACUACUUCAAAAGCAAAGCAUGAUUCUGGGUCUCUUCCCCAGAAAGAGGCUGUAAUGCUUAUUCAAAAUGACUGUAUGAAGAAGGAAACAAUUAUCAGCAUUCCUGACAGUACAAUGCAUAUUGAUCAUAUUCAACAAUUCAGUUAUAUAACAGUUUAAUUAAAAGGCAUUCUCUAUCCAAAUACCGAAAGAUUCCUGAAUAUUCCAAACACUGAGAAGCAAAAACUUUAUCUGAAACGCAAAGAAACCACAUGGAUGCUGAGCUGGAAAAGUAAAAUGAAUCAGAAUCUCAACCAGCUGCUUUUAAACCACCCCCAGAAAAGGUUCUCAAUUCUCAAACCAAAACCAAAACGCGUAUCAAAACUAAGGUAAAAGUAGCUGUAGAUUUGAAAAGAUAGAUGAAUAAAAUUUCAUAGUUCUAUUCCUUAAAUUAUGACCAACAAUGUGAAGGAAUUUGGCAACUUGUUCUUCUACAUUACUAUGUGCAAUAUUUCUAAGACGACCUGUUCCCCGAAGAAUGUUUACUAGUCUUGCGAAUGCAUCCUUUCCCAUAUGUAGUUGAUUAUAACAAUCUUCAUUAUCCAUUAGUGUAAGUCUUUCCAUCAAAGCAUGUCGUUCAUAAUCUCCUUCAUUAGAGAUUGAUCUCUCCAAAUAGUUUGAGCGAUGAUAAACUGAAACAAGAAUUGCCGCAUAUGCAGCAUACAUAGCUACACAAGUUGCAGCCCAUCUUCUAAGUCUUUGCCAUUCUUCAUUAUAAGUCUACAUGAUAGCAAAGUAAGAGGAAUGAUUUAGUAAAGUCAUUAGGUAAAGUAAGAGGAAUUGAAGUAUUAUGAUUUCUAGCUAUGAAAAUUUCGAGGAAAAUAUUGCAUGAAAAUUAAGGGAUGUUUCUGCCCACUAGUUCUUUUCUUGAUGUUAAUUGCAACAUGGCUCUGCUAUAUAAUGUUGGAACAAGGAGACAAAACUGCCUGGUUCUAUGAAUCAAGACACUGAAUUAAUUGGACCUUUUUACUUAAUGUUGAACAGUUUUUAAAAUUUGUACUUAAUGGGCUAGGCUUAGAGUGAAUAUGUGUGAGUUAGUGUGUGGCUUUGUGAGCUACAUUUAAUCCAUUAAGAAUGUAGAAGUUGCUGCCAAAGACUAGAGAAGAAGUUGUUGUAAAGAAAAUUUCCCACAAUUCCAAGCAGGGAGUGAAGGAGUUUGUUGCAGAGAUUGCAAGCCUAGGAAAGCUGAGGCACAGGCACUUGGUUCAUCUCCAAGGUUGGUGUAAGCGAAAAGGCGAUCUCCUUCUUGUUUAUGAUUAUAUGUCCAAUGGCAGCCUGGACACCUUCCUGUUUCAAGAAGACAAGAACCUGGAUUGGGGACAGAGGUUCAGGAUCCUCAAGGAGAUUGCUGCAGGCCUCCUAUAUUUACAUGAAGAAUGGGAUUUUAGCAUGUUGUUAGGGCUUUUAGCAUGGGUAGGCUUGAUACAUAUGGAUUAUUAUCUAAGAAUUUAAGCUAUUAGAUUAAAGAAGCCUGUUUUUUAUAAAAUGAAGCUUUUAUAUACAUGGGGGGAAGAAGAGAUUAUAUUCUUGAUAACCAAAACAGAGUGUGACUGUAUUACAAUUUCUCGAAAGAGUCACCAACAAGUGCAGAUUUUUUUUUAUUUUAUCAGAUUGAGUUUUCAGGUUUUUGGAAAGGGUGAACUUAUAUUUCCCAAGUGCAUGUUUAAAUGAAGUCUUUUGAGAAUAUCAAACAGUUCAUACUCCUUUUCAUUAUUUCAGUAGUAUGUGUUCAUGUUAUUUCCCAACUUCUUCAUGGUCAACCUGAAUAAGAUUAGUGCAAUUGUGCAAUCCCUUAUAUUGGCAGUUAAAAUUUACAAAUGACUGAACAUCUAUGAUAAACCUAUCCUACCUAUUUGGAACUUCAUGAUACUAACAUAUGCACACAUUUUUUUAUACGUACAAAUAGCCACCAGAAAAAAAUAUUUUUGGGUGAUGUUGCAAUCACCCUUCCAUAAUUUAGAUUAUAAAACUAGCUGGCAAAAAGUUCCAUCAUAAUCCAUCCUUUUAUCCACAACAAUAUACUCUCUGAGACACCAAAAUUGAAAGAGGUUCUGAUUCUUUCCCAUGUAAAAGUAUGCUUCUGCAAGUCCCCCAAGUCCCAGCAUGGCCCUCUAGCAGAAAGUGCCUUGGCACCCAAAUGCUAGUCCCACAAAACUACCUGUUGGUUGCAACUAAUUUACCCACUUGGGUGUUGCAGCUACCCAAAUGUUACUUCUAAAUAAGGGUUACUAGGGUUAGGGAAAGACUCUUUAAUGUGCAUUAGGCUAACACCCCUGCUCACAUUGGACCCCAAUCUGCAUGUUGAGAGGGAAAAUUCAAUAUGCAUACUCUAAGAAUUGGAGUUUUAACAACAUGUAAUGUUGGAUUGUAAAACCUAAAUCAGUCUUGUUGUGUCACGUAUUUUUGUCAUCCUAUUGACAGACCAAAAGAAAAAAGGUUCAGAAGUCAUCAAGUUGUAUAAAUGAAAGACUAAAAAACUUGUAUCAGAUGAACAGGAAAUUAAUGUUGUUAGCCGGAGAAGGGAAGGAGAUUUGCUUCACCAAUGAUUUGAGGCCUUGGACUAGAAAAUUUGGAAGUAUUGCAGAGGAAAAGUUGAGGUGCCAUCAUGAAUAGGACGUAAGGUUCACAUGAGUUCAAACCAAACUGACAGAAGGUCCUUUAUGUUGGCUCUUGCUUAUAUUAGUUCUUAUAUUAGUUCUUGUAAAAUCGUCUUGGAUGUCAUCAUGAAUUUUCGCCAUUUUAUCUAGCUAGCUAGAUACUGCUGCAUUGGAACUCCCUUCCAGAAGUAAAGAAAUUAACAUAGAAAAUACAUAAGUUCUUUCUUCAUUGUAGUUCCUGUUCUCCUACUUCUGCCUGUUGUCUAAUUGGUUUUCGAGUUGUCUAAACAAUUCAUUGUAGCCCUCACACCCUAAAUCAGUGGCUUAAGAUUCCAAACUUGGUUAUUUAAGAUUGAUUUCAUAGGAUGCAAUAAUUUCCUAACAAUUUAGAUAUAAAAAAGAAUUAAGCAAAAUGGGCCAUUUUUAUGCUUGGUACAAUCAAAUACAUAUGUAAAGUUAGCAAUAUAAAGUAAAUAGAAUAGGUAAGAUAAAUUAACACAAUUCAUAAAGAUCAAGACAUCAAUGAGAAGGAAAAAAAUCACAAGCUAUAAUCUCCUUGAAUCUUUCGCAACUAAAAAUUAAUGGAGCAUAAUGAAUUUAUUUAUUUAUUUUUCAAUCAAGUGAAAGGUCCCAGAACCUCCACCAGAGAACAUGCAGUUGGGUUGUGGACGUCUACUCCCUUACGACUUCAUGAGCUAAUUAAUAUGAGCAGGUGGCAGUGUAUAUGUUGGAAAAAGGGGAUGAAUGAAAUUAAGUAAAUCCAUUGAAUUAAGUAAAUUCAUUCAUUUUUCUCGAAUUCUAAGAGUCUCAAGAAGCCAAAUUCAUUUUGGCUUUCUGAACCUAUCUGUGUUCUUCCCUCCUUGAAGUCUAUAAGUAGUGGUAGACUUUCUUUCAAAAACUACAUAAAAACUUUGGAGUAUUGUUAGAGUGUUGAAGAGUUCCUUCCUUCCGUGUCCGUGAUAGAGUUGAACAAUUUCCAGUUCGCCGGAGUGGCUGCAGAGUGUUGUUGUUGUCAUUCGAAGAUCGUUUUAUCCUGGGAGACAGACGUCUUGCGAUUCUCAAAUCACCUGUGGAGAAAGCGAAUCUGUUUUAAGGAGAUUGUGUUUUCCACAAGACUCGGUCUAAUCUUCUUCCUUAAUUCUCUGUUUUUUUUUUUCCAGUUUUCUUUUAUUUUCUUAUGAACUAACCAGUGUGUGCAGUGUGGUUGUAGAUAACAUUCUUAAAACAGAUUUUUUUCAAAGGAAAACCAGUGGUUGGUGAAAAAAAAAAAACAAAUCUGGAAAAAAAAAAAUUUUCAAAUUUGUGUUUUUUUUUAGAAGGAAAAAAAAAAAAACAACCAUUUGUUACAAAAAGAAGUUUCGAACUUUUAACUUGAGCCCUUUUUCUCAUGCUCAACUCAAUAAGACACCAUUGGACUGUGACUCAUGUUUUUUUUAUUAUGGGAAAAAUACCUUCUUAUAAAGUUUGUACCAAGUCUUUUGAAAAUUUGGAAAUUAUGAUACAGAGAAGUUCUGUCUAAGGUAAUUGGAAUUUAAGCGGGACCAUUUGUCACCCCUCCAAUUUCCUGGGAACUGAAUAUUCUGUCUAAGGAAGCUAGUCCUGAUCUGGGUCAUUAUACCCCACUAGUCUUUCCUGGGAAUACUCUGUAAAGUGAUUUUCAGUUUUUUGAAGUUUUUUUUUUUUGAAAAAAAAAAAAAAAAAAAAAGGAAAAAGAAAUUGACACAUUUUCUUGGAUGGUUCAGGAAAAUGACAACUGAAUCCGAUAACGUUGUUGUAACUGAAUUAGCCCCAGUGGCAAACCCUACUGUGGCCCAAGUGCCAGCGAUGCCUACUGCUGUACCAAUCUCUGUCUCACCAGGAGAAAAACCAGAGAAGUUCAGUGGACUAAAUUUUAAAAGGUGGCAACAAAAGAUGUUAUUCUAUUUGACCACGUUGAAUCUUGCAAGAUUCUUGACUGAGGAUGCUCCUAAGCUCAAAGAAGACGAGCACGAUAUCCAAGUCAUCAGUGCUAUAGAUGCUUGGAAACAUUCUGACUUCUUGUGUAGAAAUUAUGUCAUGAAUGGUUUAGCUGAUUCGUUGUACAAUGUUUAUUCUGACAAGAAAAUAGCUAAGGAGCUAUGGGAAUCUCUAGACCGGAAAUAUAAAACUGAGGAUGCCGGGGCUAAGAAAUUUGUUGUGGGUCGCUUCCUCGACUAUAAGAUGGUAGAUUCCAAGACUGUGGUAAGUCAAGUCCAAGAACUUCAAGUAAUCUUGCAUGAGAUACAUGCUGAGGGAAUGAUGUUGAGUGAAACUUUCCAAGUAGCAGCUAUUAUUGAGAAACUACCCCCUGCUUGGAAAGAUUUUAAGAAUUGCCUCAAGCACAAAAGAAAGGAAAUGAGCAUCGAGGAUCUAAUUAUUAGACUUCGCAUUGAAGAAGAUAAUAGAAGAUCUGAAAAGAAAGGGGUGCACACUCUAAAUGAGGCCAAGGCUAACUUUGUGGAACAUGGUCAAAGUUCCAAGGCAAAGACGAACAACAACAAAGGGAAAGGAUCUAAGUUGGGACCUAAAGGAGGGAUCUCAAAGAAGCCGAAAUUUCAAGGGAAAUGCUUCAAUUGUGGUAAGCAAGGUCACAAGUCUGUUGAUUGUAGACUACCCAAAAAGAAUAAACCUAAGGAAGCUAAUGUGAUUGACAACAUCACUAAAAAUGUUUCUAACAUUGACCUCACAGCAGUAGUCUCUGAGGUGAACUUGGUGGGUUCUAACCCAAAGGAAUGGUGGAUUGAUACUGGUGCUACUCGCCAUGUAUGCUCUGAUAAGAAAAUGUUCUCCACUUUUGAACCAAUUGAGAAUGGGGAAAAAGUGUUCAUGGGGAACUCUACCACCUCUGAGAUCAAGGGUCAAGGUAAAGUAAUCUUGAAGAUGACUUCUGGGAAAGAGUUGACUCUGACCAAUGUUUUAUAUGUACCGGAAAUUCGCAAGAACUUGGUGUCUGGUUCAUUGCUGAAUAAUCAUGGAUUUCGGUUGGUCUUUGAGUCAAACAAAUUUGUUUUGUCCAAGAGUGGAAUGUAUGUUGGGAAAGGGUAUAUGAGUGAUGGAAUGUGGAAACUCAAUGUAAUGACUAUUAUUAAGUCAAAUAUGAAUAAAGCUAGUACUUCUACUUACAUGCUUGAGUCUUCUAAUCUAUGGCAUGGUAGAUUAGGACAUGUUAAUUAUGAUACAUUACGUAGAUUAAUUAACUUAAAUCAUAUACCAACAUUCCAAAUUAAUUCCAACCAUAAAUGUGAAACUNNNNNNNNNNNNNNNNNNNNNNNNNNNNNNNNNNNNNNNNNNNNNNNNNNNNNNNNNNNNNNNNNNNNNNNNNNNNNNNNNNNNNNNNNNNNNNNNNNNNUUGACAUUUGUGCUCAACAUGGGAUUAUACACGAAACAACAGCACCUUAUUCGCCUCAAUCCAAUGGAGUGGCUGAGCGAAAGAAUCGUACCUUAAAGGAAAUGAUGAAUGCAAUGUUAAUAAGUUCUAGUUUGCCACAAAACAUGUGGGGAGAAGCCAUUUUAACUGCUAAUUACCUUUUGAAUAAGGUACCCAAAAAGAAAGCAGAAAAGACUCCAUAUGAGUUAUGGAAAGGAAGAAAGCCAUCCUACACAUACUUACGAAUGUGGGGAUGUCUUGCUAAAGUGGCAGUUUCUCCACCUAAAAAGGUGAAAAUAGGACCUAAGACUAUUGAUUGCAUUUUCAUUGGCUAUGCACAUAAUAGUAAUGCUUAUCGGUUUCUUGUUUAUGAAUCAAAUAUCCCAGAUAUUCAUAAGAACACGAUAAUGGAAUCAAGGAAUGCAUCAUUCUUUGAAGAUGUAUUUCCAUGUAAAUCCAAAGAAGAGCCAAGUUCAUCAAAAAGAAUGCUUAAGAGUCAGGAUCAAAAUGAAGAAGUUGAGGUAGAACCUAGACGUAGCAAAAGGGUAAGGACAGAAAAGUCUUUUGGUCCAGAUUUUCUAAAUUUUAUGCUUGAAGGCGAACCUCAAACUUUUAAAGAGGCAGUGAACUCUACAGAAGGUCUUAUGUGGAAAGAGGCCAUUAAGAGUGAAAUUGAUUCCAUAUUGCAAAACCAUACUUGGGAACUAGUGGAUCUUCCGCCAGGUUGUAAACCUUUAAGUUCCAAGUGGAUUUUCAAGAGAAAGAUGAAAGUAGAUGGAUCAAUUGACAAGUAUAAAGCAAGACUUGUAAUCAAAGGCUACAGACAAACUGAAGGCCUAGAUUAUUUUGACACAUAUUCUCCUGUGACGAGAAUAAAUUCCAUAAGGAUGGUACUUGCAAUUGCUGCAUUGAGAAAUCUUGAAAUAUAUCAAAUGGAUGUAAAAACAGCCUUUCUAAAUGGAGAUUUAGAUGAAGAAAUCUAUAUGGAGCAACCUGAGGGUUUUUCAGCUCCAGGACAAGAAAAGAAAGUUUGUAAACUGGUAAAAUCUUUGUAUGGCUUAAAACAAGCAUCGAAACAAUGGCAUGAAAAAUUUGACAAUGUUAUGCUGUCACAUGGCUUCAAAAUCAAUGAAUGUGACAAGUGUGUUUAUGUCAAGGAUACAGAACAUGGAUAUGUCAUUGUAUGUUUGUAUGUAGAUGACAUGCUUAUUGUUGGUAGUGAUGAUAAGAUGAUCACAUCUACAAAGAACAUGUUGAAUUCAAGGUUUGACAUGAAAGACAUGGGACUUGCUGAUGUUAUAUUGGGAAUAAAAAUCAAAAGAACAUCAGAUGAACUCAUAUUAAGUCAGUCACAUUAUGUAGACAAAAUUCUUGGAAAGUUUGAUAAAGAUAAUUCUGGAGUUGCUAGAACACCGAUGGAUGUAACUCUACAUUUGUCCAAUAAUAAAGGUGAGAGUGUUUCUCAAGUAGAAUACUCUAGAGUAAUAGGCAGUCUAAUGUACUUAAUGAGUUGUACAAGACCAGACAUAGCCUAUGCGGUUAGUAAACUGAGUAGAUAUACGAGUAAUCCCGGAGCCAAGCAUUGGCAAGGAAUUAUAAGAGUACUAAAGUACUUACGGUUUACUCGUGAUUAUGGGCUGCACUAUACGAGAUAUCCUGCUGUACUUGAAGGAUAUAGUGAUGCGAAUUGGAUAUCUAAUGUUAAAGACUCAAAAUCCCAUAGUGGUUAUGUGUUUACACUAGGAGGUGCAGCAGUGUCGUGGAAAUCCUAAAAAAAAUGGUUAUUGCCAGAUCCACAAUGGAAUCUGAAUUUAUAGCACUAGAUAAAUGUGGGGAAGAGGCUGAAUGGUUACGCCACUUCCUAGAGGAUAUUCCAAGGUGGUCAAAGCCUGUGUCUCCAAUUUGCAUACAUUGUGAUAGUCAAUCUGCAAUUGGUAGAGCACAGAGUAAUAUGUAUAAUGGUAAGUCUAGACACAUUCGUCGUAGACACAAUACCAUUAGACAACUACUCUCAACUGGGGUUAUCUCUGUGGACUAUGUGAAAUCCAAAGAUAACAUUGCGGAUCCACUAACCAAAGGGUUAAAUAGAGAGUUAGUUGAAAAGUCAUCAAGGGGAAUGAGACUAAAGCCCAUAAAAGAAUAAGUCAAUACAGUGGAUACCCAACCUAGUUGACUGGAGAUCCCGAGAUCUAGGUUCAAAAGGGACAACUAAACUGUAAAGACUUUGUUAAAUCACUGUGGGGAUCUUCCCUAGUCCAUUCCUAUGAUAAAAUAGUGAUGCCUGUAAGAGGAAAGGGUAAGCUAUGCUUUUAAUGAUCCUUAUGCUUCGGAAAUCCGAACAGAGUAAUGCGGGUUACUCGUGAUUAAGAGAUCACCUAUGUAAGAGUGAAGUGGGGCCGCUUCUAAGGGAAUUGAAUAAGGCACAAUUCUUAUUAAACUCUUACAGAACCAGGCGUAUGUUCAUGGCCAAAAUGAACAUAAAAGUGAGAACUGAAAUAUGUUAGGAAGAUUCCUGUGUGAGAUAUGUCAUCAUCUACAUAAAUGGCAGAACAGUUCAAGGACAUCGUGUCUACUGUUUAGCUAGUAGAGUAAACAUAUUUCUACAAGGGAAGGUUCAAAGGGUAACACCUACCUCUCCUAUGCAGGUUUCAACCGUUGUACUCUUUCACAAAGUUCAUCGUGUCUUAAUUUCUUUCAUGUGGGGAAUUGUUGGAAAAAGGGGAUGAAUGAAAUUAAGUAAAUCCAUUGAAUUAAGUAAAUUCAUUCAUUUUUCUCGAAUUCUAAGAGUCUCAAGAAGCCAAAUUCAUUUUGGCUUUCUGAACCUGUCUGUGUUCUUCCCUCCUUGAAGUCUAUAAAUAGUGGUAAACUUUCUUUCAAAAAGUACAGAAAAACUUUGGAGUAUUGUCAGAGUGUUGAAGAGUUCCUUCCUUCCGUGUCCGUGAUAGAGUUGAACAAUUUCCAGUUUGCCGGAGUGGCUGCAGAGUGUUGUUGCUACCAUUCGAAGAUCGUUUUAUCCUGGGAGAUAGACGCCUUGCGAUUCUCAAAGCACCUGUGGAGAAGGCGAAUCUGUUUUAAGGAGAUUGUGUUUUCCACAAGACUCGGUCUAAUCUUCUUCCUUAAUUCUCUGUUUUUUUUUUUCCAGUUUUCUUUUAUUUUCUUAUGAACUAACCAGUGUGUGCAGUGUGGUUGUAUCUAACAGUAUAAUCCAAGUCCAGCAACAUGAGAAUUAGUCCAGCCCUAUCCUUACACCUUUUGAAUUCCCAAUUCAACCUCGUGUUUCCCGGAAAAUCAUAUAUUACUGACAAUAAAUAAGUAAUAAACAUUUUCAAUCUUAUCGGAAGGCUAAUAACAACAACACAUGAUACCCAAAAUUACAAAUUAUCAUUUCUUCAUAUUAACAUUCAAAGUUGCAAUUAACAAUAAAGAGAAUCAAAACCCUAAUAAUAUUCAAAAUCCCCAUUCUGAAACAUGAAAUCAUUGGUCCAUAAAGCCCUAAGAAAUAACUCAAAUCGAAUUCAAACCCUCAUUUGAAGGGGAAAAAAAAAUAAAAAGCAAAUAUCAAUCCAAACAAACUCGAAAUUCCCAUUGGAAACCUUAAACCCUAAUUUCUAGUCAGUUGUAUGGAAAAGGCUGAAUGAGGGAAAGAGAUCAUAAAAUUAAACCAACAUCAAACACAGAGAUGAUGUGAGGUUAAGAGAAAAGAGUUCAAUUCAUACCUGACUUGAAGACAUGGAUCCGUCAUCCAUGGGAACUUGAUUUGAAGAACGCACUUCAUCAAUGGGAACUCGAGUGCCUGAAAUUGGUAGGUUUUCAGAGGCACUCGAAGGUGGUCGGAGUGAUAGUGGUGGCCGUUGAAAGGGUUUGACGACUUUGAGAAGCCAUAGCCACUGACGAAGAGGAAGUUAGAGAUGAAGCUUCGGUGAACAAGAGCCGACAAAAUUUUCCUCCUCUUUUCCCUGCUCUUUUUCUCUUAUAUUUUCCACGUUAUUUUUUAAGGAAAAUAGUGAGGAAAAUAUUACAAUAUUUUCUUUAAUAUUUUCCUUCAUAUUUUUUUUCCAUUGUAUUUUCUAUGUCAUCCAAACUAAAAAAAAUCAUUUUCCUUUAUAUUUUUUUUCCUUUCCUUAGCAUUUUCCAGGAACCAAACAUAGCCUAAGUAUAAAUUUAAAGCUCGAGAGACAUAACCAAUACCUAUUACUUAAUUAGGGAUAACAGUUUCACGAGAUUUUUUGAGUUACCUUCCCCUCUCUGCUCCUAUUAGAACAAAUACAAGAGCAUAAUAAUCAGGAUUGGGACGAGUUUAAGUUUUGUAAUAACCUACCCCUUCUUGCUCCAGAUAUAAAAUUAUGAAUUACUCAUUAUAUAUUAUAAAAUACCAAAAAACUCCCCUUAUAAAUACUUCCCUCAUCUUUUAUUUUUAAGGUUCCUUUCAUUCAAUAAACAUCUCUUCUUCUUGGACAUGUGUUAUUUUCUCUCGUUCUCUUUCUCACUUUUGAGUUUCUAUAAAGUUGGUUGUUCUCACAAAGGUAGAGCUAGGGGUGUAAAUAAGGUUGAUUCAGUUAAUUUUUAGAUAAAAAAUGAAUCGAAUCGAUAUAGUUGGUUUUAUAUGUGAUAAAAACUGAACUAAAUCAAACCUUUUAAGGUCGGUUUGGUUUGGUUUUUGUGGAUUGGUUUUGACCUAACUUAUUAAUCUUUUUUAUUCUUAAACUUAGUUGUAGAUUCAUGUUUGUUCUGAGCCCAAAUCCUAUUAAUUUGAGUUUAUAUUAGGCCAUAAGUCUAAUUUGUUUUUAAAAUUAAUUAAAACUAACUUGAAUUUGAUGUUAAAAAUAUAUUACAUGCAUUUAAAAUUAACUUGACCAUAAUAUAAAAAAAAAUGAAUUAAUUUAAUCGAAUCUAAUAUAUAAAAACUUAUCAAAUAUCAAAUAAUCAUAUAUAAGUUUUAGGAUAUCGGUUUCAUUCGAUUUUUAUUGGUUAGGAGACAAGAAAAUUGAAAACUGAACAGAUUGGAUCAGUUUUCAAAAUUCUCAAACUGAUCUGACUUUUUUUUUUUUUUUUUUUGAAAACAAAACCAAUAUGAUCGGUUUUAGUUGGUUUGGAUCGGUUUAUCGAUUUUUUUGAUUUUGCUUUCAUCCCUAAGUAGAGCUCACAACCAAAAUCACACCCACUACAAUGGAUCUCAAGUUGAACACCGCAUUUAUCUCCCCAUCUCACAACCUUCCUCCUUAAUCUCACUGUCCCAGAUCUCACAAAGCUUUCAUGGCCUCCACUUUUCUCAUGGGUUUGGGUUCUGAUUUAGAAUCUUGUGACACCCAUUACUAUAAUUCCAACCAAGUUUUUCUUGGUUUCUAAAUGGAUCCUAGUGUGAUUUGAGUUUUUCUUUGUAGAGAUGUUUGUGGGUGUCAUAAAAAUGAGUUUUUGGUGUUUGUAUUGAUGUGGGCUGUGGGUUGUUGCUAUUUGAUCCAAAUGUGUUAAUUGCUUUUUCAUAAUAAUAAGUUCAUCAUGAUCUCAAGUAUAAUUGCUUUGUAAAUGCCUUUUCUCAUAUGGGUGUUUUGUCAAGUGCCCAUUGAACAUCAUUCAUUUCUAUGCCUUUUAACUGAAAAAGCCUUCACAGUGUGACAAAUAAAAUGAGUUCCACCCAUCCAUGAGAUCCAUUCUUCAAAUUUGAAAAAAAAAAAAAAAAGGAAAAGAAUUAUUUUAUUUAUCCUUUUUUUUUGUUCUUUUUUUUUUUUUUUUUUUUUUUUUUGUGAUCACCUUGUCUCUAGUUUGGUAUCUUUACACCAAGAAGAAAGUGGGUGCUUGGACUCAAAAUUGGGCCACUGGGUUAGAAUGUGCCAGGCCCAUUAAGGCCAGAUAUUGAGCUGGGCCAUACAUAGAGCCCAGUGCUUACCAUAGGGCCCGAGCUCAAGCAGACUGGUGAGGAAUGAGGAUGAAAGUCAACUCAAGUUUGACCCAGCUUGAACUCAAAUCAGAGAUUUUUAACCUCACUUCAAUUUUUAGGGUUUCUCUCUGGUAACAUAUUGAGAAGACGUGGCUACAUCAGUUUUAUUUCUUUGUAUCUUUACAAUAAUUGUAGUUGAUGGUAUCUAGCUACUUUUAAUUUCAUUCAUAAACCUUUAUUCUAACAAUCCAUAUUUAAUCAUAUGCAUCCAGGCUCAAAUUAAAAAAAAAAAGUUGGUAUAUAUGAUACCAAAAAGGUGUAAAAAAUUUGUCUUGAAUUAAAAAAUUGCAAAAUAAUACAGUAAAAAAUUAAUAUUAAUAUAAAUUAAGACCUAUUUUUUGUUUUAGAAGUAAAAAUAAUAGUAACCCCUAUACAAAUAAUACAAACUUAUUUAAUUUUUUUUUUUUAAAAAAAAAAAGAGAGUUGCAUAUAAUAUUUCUUCCCAAACACAAAACACUACUUUUCUGCAGGUAUAUUUGAGUGUGUAUAGGCUAAUGUGUCAAGACUAAAUCAAGAAGAGAGAUUUUACAAGUGCAUGAUGUUUAAGACUUGAAGUAUGUGUGGGUUCCUCGAACUUAUUUUUUAUAGUUGGGAGUUUAAUUCACGGUAAUCAUUGUUUAGUCACAAAAUUGUUAAAAUGGGAGCUUGUUAGUAUUUUAAAUUAGACAAGGUUGACAAUUUUGCUCUAAACCCUUACACCCUGUAACUAGUUUAAAUGUUCAACUAUGUUUUUACCGUUUGACCAUAUUUACAAAGUUUUUCGGAAAUUCAGUAAGUAGUAUUUCAUAUGUAUUCGAUGUUCAUUAUAUUGAUUGGUUGAUCGAUAUUAUUGAUCUUGAUCAAGUUGAUUGAUAACCAAUAAAAUCUAGAUAUAAUUUAAAAUUUAGGAUAUAACAAAUCGCUUGAUCUAUUUAUUCAAUGAAUCAAAAGCAAACUUUCAAUUUCUACAUUUUAUAUGAAUUAAAAGCUUUUGGUUUUUUUUUCUUUGAAAAAAACAUGUAUACAUAGUAACAACAUCCACAUGCAUGUUUUUAAUGAUAACAAAUAUUGGUCCAUUUUUCGGUUGAGGUGUUAUUCUAUUCAUUUAAUUUACCUUUUAAUUCAUAUAUUGAAUAGUAAAACACAUGAUUAAUUUACCCUUAUAAAAAAAUAUUAAAUUUUGCACAUUAUUGUUUAUCUCAACCACAAUUUUAUUCAUAUAUACAGAUGGAUAAUUCACCAGCAAAAGUAAUUACUUAACAGACAUCCAUGUAAAUACGGUUUGUAUGAGAGUGAGUACGAGGAGUAUAACUGCAGCAAUUGUAGAAGCUCCUCUCCAUGGAGAACUGAAAUAGUCAUGUCUCAAUGUUGCCUGCCAACGGUUCCAUGGACUAUCGUAGUAUUUAUUCAGCUUCUCAUAUAUACCUGCAAAAUGGAAGGUCUCCUUACAUGUUGUCGUAUCAAUUAGCAGUCUGUUAAAUAGAUUCUUAACCGCAUGGUUGUCGCCCAGAUGGUUACUGAUAAUUCCCUUCCUAACAAGUAAGUUAACGUCUUUAGUAGUGUUGAUAAGGUGAUCCAUGAGGUACAUGUAGUCGGUUAUGUAAGUUUGUGCAUGGUCGUGACAUUCCUCGUAGGCAAUGAGGUUUCGAAACAAGGAUUCACACUUUUCUUGCAGUAUCAGAUGUGGGAUUUUCAGAACACCAUUAUUAUAGUCUAAAUCAAGUAAUUUGUCGUUGUCUUUGUCUUUCGAUCCCAACUUAAACCGCACUCCCGCCUCACGGAGAUAUGUUGCAGUAGGUAUCACGAAUUUGAACGACUUUGAUUCUGGUGGUAGACUAGAGGAUGAAGGCUGCAGACAAACUAUUAGCAAAUCAACAAAGUGUUUUAUCUCAUGACGACUUGAGAUCUUCUUCUUAAUUUCAGUCACUAUUUCAUCAGAACUUUUGGCUUCUGGCAUUUGCAAGUAGUCUUUGAAGAAUUUGACAGACAAGAGAAGGAAUGAGUAGUGGGCGUAGUCAUUUUGGUUUUCUGGAAGGGGUCCUGGAGGAGCCCGCAGGCUGUAGAGAGAGAGGAGAAGAAAGAAUGGAAGCUGGUUUUCUAGUAAGGUCAUGUCGCGGCGCACAUCAAUGAACAACCGUGGCUUGUUGUAUAUCCGAUCACCUGUUUCGAUAGAAUGACUGCUGGAAAAGCCCAAGAUCACUUCAAUGAUGAAGCAAGCAUCCACUAGAAUCAUCUUCACAAAUUCUUCUCUGCUCAUCUUUAUGCUUUCCAUGUAAUAGCCUCGGGCCUUUUCCUCCUCCCUGUAUAUAAUUUCAACACACUCCUCUAAGGUUUUGCGGGUUUCAGAAAGAAAUUUUUGGAGGUACCUCAGCUUAUGCUCUUCCAUGGCUACCAAGUGCUCUUCGCCAUGAUGUAGGGGACCGAUGGAGACUACUCUAGGCGUGUAGGCUUCCAUAUUUGCUUUCCGCAGUUUCUGUGGCACUCUAUAUAUACAGCAUGUA